CUAUGCAACUGGGGAACUAGCGGCUCUCUGUACUUGCAAUUCGCUUAGCAAGAGUGGUGUUUACUCUCGGAUUGUCUUUUCGAAGUUUUGCGGAUUUUCCCAUGGCGUUGAAAACUGAGUCUUGUGCAAUAAACGGUUAUGAAUCGUGUCAGGUCGGGAACGAAGCAGCACUAAGUAAUUUUGUUUAUGUGACUCGAGGUUACUGAGUUUGAGCUUAUGGUUUUUAUUUAGCAUUCGUUAUUGGCAUUACAAAAGUAUACGCAUAG
This 266-nucleotide signal recognition particle RNA is filed under the name Clostridiales bacterium. RNAcentral describes it as "signal recognition particle sRNA large type". It matches the Rfam family "Bacterial large signal recognition particle RNA". From Rfam's summary of the family: The signal recognition particle (SRP) is a universally conserved ribonucleoprotein involved in the co-translational targeting of proteins to membranes. Archaeal SRP consists of a 7S RNA and homologues of the eukaryotic SRP19 and SRP54 proteins. Lineage: Bacteria; Bacillati; Bacillota; Clostridia; Eubacteriales. The record is from RNAcentral.